RNAcentral lists this ribosomal RNA (253 nucleotides) under uncultured bacterium. RNAcentral describes it as "partial 16S ribosomal RNA". It matches the Rfam family "Bacterial small subunit ribosomal RNA", at positions 524 to 776 of the family's 1533-position model. The record is from RNAcentral.
UACGUAGGGGGCAAGCGUUGUCCGGAAUCAUUGGGCGUAAAGAGCGUGUAGGCGGUUCGGUAAGUCCGCUGUGAAAGUCCAGGGCUCAACCCUGGAAUGCCGGUGGAAACUGUCGAGCUAGAGUCCGGAAGAGGCGAGUGGAAUUCCUGGUGUAGCGGUGAAAUGCGCAGAUAUCAGGAGGAACACCAAUGGCGAAGGCAGCUCGCUGGGACGGUACUGACGCUGAGACGCGAAAGCGUGGGGAGCAAACAGG